RNAcentral lists this microRNA (23 nucleotides) under Petromyzon marinus (sea lamprey). RNAcentral describes it as "pma-miR-181b-5p". Its record names the gene pma-miR-181b-5p. Lineage: Eukaryota; Metazoa; Chordata; Hyperoartia; Petromyzontiformes; Petromyzontidae. The record is from miRBase by way of RNAcentral.
GACAUUCAGUGCUGUCGGUGGGU